Molecule: ribosomal RNA, 824 nt
Filed under: uncultured organism
Description: bacterial SSU rRNA
Rfam family: Bacterial small subunit ribosomal RNA
Source: RNAcentral
GUGCCAGCAGCCGCGGUAAUACGGAGGAUNCAAGCGUUAUCCGGAUUCAUUGGGUUAAAGGGUGCGCAGGCGGAAUAGUAAGUCAGUGGUGAAAUCCUGCAGCUUAACUGUAGAAUUGCCAUUGAUACUGCUAUUCUUGAGUAUAGUUGAGGUGGGCGGAAUGUGUAAUGUAGCGGUGAAAUGCAUAGAUAUUACACAGAACGCCAAUUGCGAGGGCAGCUCACUAAACUAUAACUGACGCUGAGGCACGAAAGCGUGGGGAGCGAACAGGAUUAGAUACCCUGGUAGUCCACGCUGUAAACGAUGAUCACUAGCUGUUGGCAAUACACAGUCAGCGGCUGAGCGAAAGCGUUAAGUGAUCCACCUGGGGAGUACGUCCGCAAGAAUGAAACUCAAAGGAAUUGACGGGGGCCCGCACAAGCGGUGGAACAUGUGGUUUAAUUCGAUGCUACGCGAGGAACCUUACCUGGGCUUAAAUGCAGGACGACGUUCCGGGAAACUGGAACUCCCUUCGGGGCGGACUGCACGGUGCUGCAUGGCUGUCGUCAGCUCGUGCCUUGAGGUGUCGGGUUAAGUCCCAUAACGAGCGCAACCCCUAUUGUUAGUUGCCAGCGAGUAAUGUCGGGGACUCUAACAAAACUGCCCGUGUGAGCGGGAGGAAGGUGGGGAUGACGUCAAGUCAGCACGGCCCUUAUGUCCAGGGCUACACACGUGUUACAAUGGUCGGUACAAAGGGCAGCUACCACGCGAGUGGAUGCUAAUCUCUAAAGCCGGUCUUAGUUCGGAUCGGAGUCUGCAAUUCGACUUCGGAAGGCGGAAUCGCU